GAUGAAGAACGCAGCGAAAUGCGAUAAGUAGUGUGAAUUGCAGAAUUCAGUGAAUCAUCGAAUCUUUGAACGCACAUUGCGCCCCUUGGUAUUCCAUGGGGCAUGCCUGUUCGAGCGUCAUUUGUACCUUCAAGCUUUGCUUGGUGUUGGGUGUUUGUCUCGCCUUUGCGUGUAGACUCGCCUUAAAAUAAUUGGCAGCCGGCGUAUUGAUUUCGGAGCGCAGUACAUCUCGCGCUUUGCACUCAUAACGACAGCGUCCAAAAGUACAUUUUACACUCUUGACCUCGGAUCAGGUAGGGAUACCCGCUGAACUUAAACAUAUCAAUAAGCGGAGGA
RNAcentral lists this unclassified non-coding RNA (336 nucleotides) under soil metagenome. RNAcentral's name for it is "partial contains 5.8S ribosomal RNA, internal transcribed spacer 2, and large subunit ribosomal RNA". The stretch from base 1 to 120 matches the Rfam family "5.8S ribosomal RNA", at positions 35 to 154 of the family's 154-position model. The record is from RNAcentral.